GGUAGUGGUGACAGGAAGCGGCGGGUUCUUUGGAGCCCAGGAAGGUCCGCCCACCAGCACCCCGAAAGCGCCUGCUUUCCACGGUGCAGCAUGGCUACUCCCAGAGGGAGACGGAGAAAUCCGGUGGCUCUGGCGCAGAAACGGCACGUCCCUAUUUAAGGAUGAUCAUGGCGAAGCUUCCAGCGAUGGGAGCGAGUUAACCCACGGACGUUGAAUAGGGGAACGAUGAAACGGCGAACCCUUACCGAAAGCUGGACUUUCGGACGGUCUAAAAAGAGAAAUCUUUAAAGAUCGGGCCGGUGCAAGUCGUUACGACGCUCAGUAGAAUGCUUCCCCAAACCAUCGGGUUGUAUACCUAUACAGCCUUUGGGUUUGACAAAAGGCGGCCUAUGUCACCCUACC
RNAcentral lists this RNase P RNA (402 nucleotides) under Nanobdellota archaeon. RNAcentral describes it as "RNase P RNA component". It matches the Rfam family "Archaeal RNase P". Rfam says of the family: Ribonuclease P (RNase P) is a ubiquitous endoribonuclease, found in archaea, bacteria and eukarya as well as chloroplasts and mitochondria. Its best characterised activity is the generation of mature 5'-ends of tRNAs by cleaving the 5'-leader elements of precursor-tRNAs. The record is from RNAcentral. Lineage: Archaea; Nanobdellati; Nanobdellota.